GCCAGUGUGGCGUAGUGGAUUGAGUGUUGGACUAGGACUCUGGAGACCAGGGUUCGAAUCCCAGCUCGGCC
This 71-nucleotide transfer RNA is filed under the name Phrynosoma platyrhinos (Desert horned lizard). RNAcentral describes it as "tRNA-OTHER". The record is from RNAcentral. Lineage: Eukaryota; Metazoa; Chordata; Lepidosauria; Squamata; Phrynosomatidae.